RNAcentral lists this ribosomal RNA (416 nucleotides) under uncultured prokaryote. Its description in RNAcentral is "partial 16S ribosomal RNA". The record is from RNAcentral.
CCCUAUGGGGUGCAGCAGGAUAUCGUCAAAUGUGAGGGCUUCGGGGAUGUCGGAAGGGCGCUUUACGUCCAUAAAAUCUCUCCAUAUCUGGGUGAUGCAAGCAUCGUGAAGCGUGGAGUUGACAUGUGCACCAAAAAAUAAGAGUCGGGAUUCCGGAGCAUCCAGCCUGCGGCGGUUGCUGUGAAUCCCUUCCGCUGGUCAAUUUAUAAAUAAAACAUUAAUGAUACCUUCCUCGUCCGAAGGCGUCAAGCACUAAGAUAAUAUGUGAAAUUCCAGGAGGUUGGGAGAGGUGGACGGCCUGAAGCGCCGUGACGGAAGAGAUUAUAUCAUUUGCGCCAAAGGAGGAAGUUGACAUCCCGCAUGCGAGGGGCGCACCUGCCUAAAUUCUUUCCGGACCUUGUUGUGGGCGGGAGGGC